CCGGGGCACAGUAUUAGAUAGAAAAUAAACGUGUAAUGAACACUUAACCGGGCUAACUGCAAAAAUUAGAACUCAUUGUAGCAUAAUCAACAAACUAGCCAGUUCAUCACGGGGUUCUGUUGCAAGCACGCUAUGUACAAGUGCACUCUCCGUAAUUUUGUCAACAGCGCAUUAUUGUCCUUAGUCUCGCCUUAUACUCUACAGCAUUGAUUCCCAAUCUGCGGGGGCUGAAUGCAUUACCGGGGAGGCUCA
Molecule: non-coding RNA, 252 nt
Organism: Cinara cedri
Lineage: Eukaryota; Metazoa; Arthropoda; Insecta; Hemiptera; Aphididae
Source: the annotation of a GenBank genome assembly